RNAcentral lists this ribosomal RNA (468 nucleotides) under uncultured bacterium. RNAcentral describes it as "partial 16S ribosomal RNA". It matches the Rfam family "Bacterial small subunit ribosomal RNA", at positions 28 to 507 of the family's 1533-position model. The record is from RNAcentral.
GACGAACGCUGGCGGCGUGCUUAACACAUGCAAGUCGAACGGAAAGGCCCUGCUUUUGUGGGGUGCUCGAGUGGCGAACGGGUGAGUAACACGUGAGUAACCUGCCCUUGACUUUGGGAUAACUUCAGGAAACUGGGGCUAAUACCGGAUAGGAGCUCCUGCUGCAUGGUGGGGGUUGGAAAGUUUCGGCGGUUGGGGAUGGACUCGCGGCUUAUCAGCUUGUUGGUGGGGUAGUGGCUUACCAAGGCUUUGACGGGUAGCCGGCCUGAGAGGGUGACCGGCAACAUUGGGACUGAGAUACGGCCCAGACUCCAACGGGAGGCAGCAGUGGGGAAUAUUGCACAAUGGGCGGAAGCCUGAUGCAGCAACGCCGCGUGCGGGAUGACGGCCUUCGGGUUGUAAACCGCUUUCGCCUGUGACGAAGCGUGAGUGACGGUAAUGGGUAAAGAAGCACCGGCUAACUACGUG